RNAcentral lists this long non-coding RNA (369 nucleotides) under Elaeis guineensis (African oil palm). Its description in RNAcentral is "long non-coding RNA (EGUI_LNC068913)". Lineage: Eukaryota; Viridiplantae; Streptophyta; Magnoliopsida; Arecales; Arecaceae. The record is from RNAcentral.
AUCAACCAUCCAAUCGGAUAAUGAACUCUAAUGUGUGUGACCUCAUAGGUCCAAACCUAAGCCGGUAGCAUAGAAAUAAAUUUCUGUACCAAUCGAAGUGACCAUCUAGCAAUGGUACCCGACGACCGGAUAGGUCGAAUGUGUAGAACAACAUCCUUAGAACCCAUGCGGAUAUAGUUUUCAUAUAAUUCAUCCCCUUGACCAAAAUGAUCAUAGGACACCCCAAAGUUCAACUGUCAACUCUGAUCAGGUUGUCCACAUUGUAUUUCAAAAUAUCAAAUCCAUCUAAUGGAUUACCCUAGCCAAGGUUUUGCCAAAUUGAAAUACAGUGACUCAUUCUUCUCCAACUCUUGGAGUGGUCAAUCCCAU